RNAcentral lists this unclassified non-coding RNA (418 nucleotides) under soil metagenome. RNAcentral describes it as "partial contains 5.8S ribosomal RNA, internal transcribed spacer 2, and large subunit ribosomal RNA". The stretch from base 1 to 120 matches the Rfam family "5.8S ribosomal RNA", at positions 35 to 154 of the family's 154-position model. The record is from RNAcentral.
GAUGAAGAACGCAGCGAAAUGCGAUAAGUAAUGUGAAUUGCAGAAUUCAGUGAAUCAUCGAAUCUUUGAACGCAUCUUGCGCUCCUUGGUAUUCCUUGGAGCAUGCCUGUUUGAGUAUCAUGAGCAAACCUCAAAGUCAAUUCCUUUUGUUAAUUCAAUUGGUUUUGCUUUGGACUUGGAGGUCUUGCAGAUUUCACAGUCUGCUCCUCUUAAAUGCAUUAGCUGGAUCUCAGUAAUUAUGCUUGGUUCCACUCGGCGUGAUAAGUAUCACUCGCUGAGGACACUGUUAAAAAGGUGGCCAGGAAAAUACUGAUUGAACCGCUUCUAACGGUCUAUUAAGUUAGACAAUUACCCUUAAGUUUGAACUCAAAUCAGGUAGGACUACCCGCUGAACUUAAGCAUAUCAAUAAGCGGAGGA